This 605-nucleotide long non-coding RNA is filed under the name Musa acuminata (dwarf banana). Its description in RNAcentral is "long non-coding RNA (MACU_LNC011001)". The record is from RNAcentral. Lineage: Eukaryota; Viridiplantae; Streptophyta; Magnoliopsida; Zingiberales; Musaceae.
UCCGUCGCUGGUUCCAGUGGCCUUGUCAGCCAUCAGACCCGAUGCUUGUUCAUGAUCCCGUCGACUAUCGUCGAAGUAGGCGCUACCGUAGCCAUCGCAGUGGGUUGGCCGGAGGAGGUUCAUCGCCGGGGCCAUAGUCUCAUAUUGAUGAUAGUGGUCAACCAACCUUGGAAUCCUUUGGUGAUGAAAGUGUUAAGAUGGAAGUCAUAGAAGAAGCUAGGGUUAGCAUACACCAAAAGCGUAUGACAAAUGAUAAUUAAGCCAUGGAGGAAGGUGAAGCAUAGAAAUAUAGAAAGAAUACCUACCUGAUCCUCUUCUGUCUCUCUACAAAUUCCUUGAAGUUUGUCACUUAGCUAAGGAAAUGAAUUCUGUAGAGAGAGAGAGAGAAUUCACUAACAAUCUACUAGAGGAUCACAGAGGGGGGAGAGCCUUGAGAUCUCACUUUCCAUUGAUUCCUUGUGCCUGAGAAACGAAGAGAGAGAGAGAGAGAGAGAGAUGACUUGUGGCUGAUGUGUUAGAAUUCUCACCUCUUUCAACUGAGGCCACAGAGAAGAGGCAGGGUAGUAAUAUCUGACCAUCCAUUGAUUCCUUGUGCUGCACAUAGA